CUCCGGUUGAUCCUGCCGGACCCGACUGCUAUCAGAGUGGGACUAAGCCAUGCGAGUCAACAUAGCAAUAUGUGGCAUACGGCUCAGUAACACGUAGUCAACAUGCCCAGGGGACGUGGAUAACCUCGGGAAACUGAGGAUAAACCGCGAUAAGUCACUACUUCUGGAAUGGGUAAUGACUCAAAUCUACAUGGCCCCUGGAUUGGACUGCGGCCGAUCAGGCUGUUGGUGAGGUAAUGGCCCACCAAACCUGUAACCGGUACGGGCUCUGAGAGGAGGAGCCCGGAGAUGGGCACUGAGACAAGGGCCCAGGCCCUAUGGGGCGCAGCAGGCGCGAAACCUCUGCAAUAGGCGAAAGCCUGACAGGGUUACUCUGAGUGAUUUCCGUUAAGGAGAUCUUUUGGCACCUCUAAAAAUGGUGCAGAAUAAGGGGUGGGCAAGUCUGGUGUCAGCCGCCGCGGUAAUACCAGCACCCCGAGUGGCCGGGACGUUUAUUGGGCCUAAAGCAUCCGUAGCCGGUUCUACAAGUCUUCCGUUAAAUCCACCUGCUUAACAGAUGGGCUGCGGAAGAUACUAUAGAGCUAGGAGGCGGGAGAGGCAAGCGGUACUCGAUGGGUAGGGGUAAAAUCCGUUGAUCCAUUGAAGACCACCAGUGGCGAAGGCGGCUUGCCAGAACGCGCUCGACGGUGAGGGAUGAAAGCUGGGGGAGCAAACCGGAUUAGAUACCCGGGUAGUCCCAGCUGUAAACGAUGCAGACUCGGUGAUGAGUUGGCUUCUUGCCAACUCAGUGCCGCAGGGAAGCCGUUAAGUUUGCCGCCUGGGGAGUACGGUCGCAAGACUGAAACUUAAAGGAAUUGGCGGGGGAGCA
This 868-nucleotide ribosomal RNA is filed under the name uncultured archaeon. RNAcentral's name for it is "bacterial SSU rRNA". It matches the Rfam family "Archaeal small subunit ribosomal RNA", at positions 1 to 878 of the family's 1478-position model. The record is from RNAcentral.